Non-coding RNA from Struthio camelus australis, 1336 nucleotides. Lineage: Eukaryota; Metazoa; Chordata; Aves; Struthioniformes; Struthionidae. The record is from RefSeq and is a predicted model, not a curated record.
GUAAUCUGACUGUUUUUCUCAUAGCAGCAGCCGUUGCUGGCAACUCUCUACUGAUCACGAGAUGCUCUUUCAACAUUGGGAACUACAAGCUGAGCAAAAGUGGCUUAGCUAUGCCCCUCAAUAAUGUAACAAAGGAGCUGCAACAAACUCAGAUUUUUAUCUUACUUCUGUCGUAGUAGCAGUAAUACAUCACACUGAGAAUCACUGCCUUUGGACACUACUCUAAAUGAAGGGUGAGUUGGAAGAGAAUCUAAAGGAGACCAUCAAGAACAAGCAGAGAUUUUGGAAAAGUGUUCUAUAAAGUUCUCACACAUGGAAAAUUCAAUUUCAACAUGAACUUUGUCCAAGAGAGGUCUGAAAGCAAAAUUCCAGAAAAUGAAUAGCAGUGAGAGACUGUGGAGUCCAUCUGAAACUGUCCAGCGGUUCUUUCUCUCCUAGCUUGUUGCUACUUCUUUGAUAUCCCCGCUGAAUUCUAUGCGAAUAACAAUACUCUGUGGCAUUGUUUGGCAUUGAUGGGAUCACUACACAUAUGCAAGUGUACAAAGCAGGCCAGAAAAUGUGUUUUCAGAUUUUUCAAGCAUUAAAAUAUAUGAACAGAAGCUCAAAGUAGAAGUAACAGUUUUAACUUUCAGACAUAACACUUCUUUAAAGUGUUAACUACUCUUGAUUCAUGUCUAUGGAAAAACAUAACUGUCCAAGUCUUGUAAAUUAAGAUGCACAAGAAGCUUAAUCUCUGGUAUUAAGAGAAGUCUGGCCCAAUGGAAAGUACUUCUGAGCUAAACCUGUACUAUGAAAGACUUUUAAGAUCAAGGACUUAAAUUCUGCACUGAUAUACACUAUGUACAAUUCCAGUGGAGAUAAAAGAAUUAUGUGGUUCACAUAUGUCAAAAUUUCAUUCUCAGAUUUAACUAAAAACUCGAUCUACAAAAAAGGGAUUUGUAACAUCUGAGAUUUUACAACUCCUGCAAGCUUCCAGACAUCACCAAAGUCUGUAAAUGAAUCAGAGUAUGGGAAUAUUGUUCUCCCUGCAGCAGUGAAGGAAAUAACAAGUCUGACAUAGGAGCCAGAUUUUGAUUGGCUUUUUCAGUGUGGAGAGGCAAGGGAAAGCAGUAUUUCUGCCAGUGCAGAAGGCCUUAGAAGGCCUUCCUUCUAAGACUGGAAACCUGUGAAGGGCUGACUUUGUGAUACAGAUAAGUGGCCCAUAGAAAUAAGACAUGAUUUCCAACUUAUUUCACGUCACCCAGUAAGUCACCAUAUGGAGAUAGCUGUGUCACCAUCAAUCCACUAUCAGUCCCUCUAAACUUGUGAUUUUGGCACAAUCCUUCCACUGUCAAUA